RNAcentral lists this ribosomal RNA (253 nucleotides) under uncultured bacterium. Its description in RNAcentral is "partial 16S ribosomal RNA". It matches the Rfam family "Bacterial small subunit ribosomal RNA", at positions 524 to 776 of the family's 1533-position model. The record is from RNAcentral.
UACGUAGGGUGCGAGCGUUGUCCGGAAUUAUUGGGCGUAAAGAGCUUGUAGGCGGUUUGUCGCGUCUGCUGUGAAAAUCCGGGGCUCAACCCCGGACUUGCAGUGGGUACGGGCAGGCUAGAGUGUGGUAGGGGAGACUGGAAUUCCUGGUGUAGCGGUGGAAUGCGCAGAUAUCAGGAGGAACACCGAUGGCGAAGGCAGGUCUCUGGGCCGAUACUGACGCUGAGGAGCGAAAGCGUGGGGAGCGAACAGG